Molecule: long non-coding RNA, 1423 nt
Organism: Durio zibethinus
Lineage: Eukaryota; Viridiplantae; Streptophyta; Magnoliopsida; Malvales; Malvaceae
Source: RefSeq, a predicted model, not a curated record
UAAUGAUUUAAAUCAUAUUUAAUUAUAUCCUAAAAAGAUUGCAAAAACAGGUAAAAAGUCAUAUGCAAAAGUAUAUCAUAAAAUUACAGGAAUUCACAUUUAUAAGAUAUAUAAAAGUUGUACCUAAUUGAUUCUACCAGGGACGGCUCAGUAAUGAAUUCAAAGAUGAUGGAGGGGUCAAUUUGGGUAAAAAAUCUCAAUUGUUUCUUGCUUGAGCGAAAGCUUCUCGGACAAAGAAUCUGGCAGGGUCAUCUGCUUUUUAUUUUCUGAAUUUCACCGCAAAUUGUGGGUGAUUUUUGUUGUUUUGAUCUCGAUGCUUCUUGCAUUUCUCUGCAAUUCUUUCCCUCCCAAGACCUUGAUCGAUCGCCGAGUCCUGGUCCUUCUCGACGAUUUCGCCAUCAAGUUGUCUCACUCCCUUUGCUCCAAUUCCCUCAAAUCUCGUGGCUUUGACCUUGAAUUCAAACUCGUCGAUGAUGCCAAGAUUGCCUGCAACGCUACGGCCAAUAUCUCCACGAUGCCUUGAUUCUCUUCUACCUUUCUGUUGAACGUUAAGAUUUAAUCAUCGAGAUGGAUGCUAAUGCUUCUGAUUUGAUUUGAGAAGUUGCCACUGAAUGUGGAGUUGAUUUUGAUGAGGUAAGAUUAUGUAUAUAUUCUCUAAUUGUUAUUGCUUCAGAAGCAUGUUACUAACACCCCCGUGUUCAUGCAUGUUGUGCUGUUGCCUCCUAUGCACAAGAAUAUGCAUAUCUGUUAGCUUAUGCCUUCAUGAUGAACCAGAACAGCAAUCUCCAAACUUUUCCAGGAUUUCUGGUAAGUCUGUUUUACCCGAGGAAGGCCCUCAAACAUCAAAACAAGACUAAAAUGGACUGCAAAUCUUCAUGAGAAGUUUGUAAAUUGCGUCAAUCUCCAUAGUGGCACAGAGAGAUUCUUCCUAUAAUUGAAUAAAAAAAAAAGAAUUUUUUUUCAUAUGCACCAAAGAGAAUGAAAUUCCUUAUUAAUUCAUUAAAUUCUAUGAAUCAUAGAGGCAACACACAGGAAAAUACUGAAGCUGAUGAAAUCAAAUGGGCUGACAGUUCUCCAUGUCAAAAGUCUUUUGCAGGCAUACAAUGGAUAUUUGAAAUCAAUUAUCAGUAAAAAAAAAAACGUGUUUUCUUUUUAUUCUUUUCUCUUCAUCAUUUUCUCAGUAACCAAAGAGGAUGUUUCUAAAUGUUACUGUUGGUUAAGAAGUAAAAUUGAGAGGAAACUGUUUCAAAAGAAAAAUUGAUUCAUUUUUAUAUGUUUCAUUUGGAAGCAUGUAAUUUGAUUAAUAUCAAAUUUUCUUUUGGCAUUAAUGAUUUGGGUGAUGAUGUUGAUUGCAUAAUGUACAAAUUUUCAUUUAAAUUGGUGAUUGAAACAAUGCUAAACCCAAGUUUAAACUGGUAAUAAU